This 3270-nucleotide long non-coding RNA is filed under the name Homo sapiens (human). Its description in RNAcentral is "HSALNT0124141". Lineage: Eukaryota; Metazoa; Chordata; Mammalia; Primates; Hominidae. The record is from RNAcentral.
CCCUUCCUACACCCUCUGCUUAUAAGAACAUGAUUCUAUCCCAUUUAAGAGAAACACUUGAGACCAGGCCCUGACAUGUUUUCAAUGAUCUGCAUUAAAAACCAGGAAAACAUAGUCACCACCCCAAGACCCAAUCAGUGCCAAAGCAAUUCUGCUUUUUUCCACAUAGGUAAUGUGAUACCAGCCCAGGACUGAUGAUUACUACUACCAGAAUGCACCUAUUAAAGAGCUCCCCAAGUGCAGGAAGCCAUUAAGGCAAAAAUUAAAGCCAUGUACCAACCUCAGAAUUUAAGAAGUUUUCAAAUACACACACACAUGCAAUGAGUAUGCGGCUCUGUGGAUUUCAGGAAGGCAACGCAUGCCGGUUUCCACACUCCUUGAUCUUUCUGUUGGCCUGGACUUCUCUUCCCCAGACAUCCUCAAAACUUGCUCCCUUAGCACCUUCAAAUCUUUGUUCCAAUGUCACCCCUCAAUAACACCUCUUCCCACUUCUUUUCACUCCCAGCAUUCUGUCUACCCCUCUUCCUGCUUUCUUUCUCUCCUUGGCACUAAUCACCAUCUGACACAUGCAUUAUGUGUUUUACUCAUUCACUCACCAUUCCCUUGUACUCAUAGAAUGUAGGGAUUCUUGACUGUUUGGACUAUUGCGGCUGGAGUAGUGUCUGAUGUGUAGCAGGUGCUCAGUAAACAUUUGUUAAUAGCAGAGUGAACUCCUCCUGAUGGUCUCUGCGUGUCUGAGACCCUGUCCCAGGAAGCUGCAGGCCCUGUGCUUUCUCAGACUGGCUGUGUGGAAGAUGCCAAGUAUAGGAUUAAUAACACAGGACCUCAGCGAAAACCGAGGGUCCAGAAUCCCUGACUCAGCUAUGCCCCUAAUGAACAGGUAACGCAAACUUCUGUCCCUGCAGCUUUAAAAUAAGGGGAAUGCCAAGAAAAUCUACCUUUCAGAAUUAUUAGGAAAUUCAAAUAACAUGUAGGAAGAACCUUGGAAAAGUUAAAGGCAUUCUCCACAUGCAUGAGGAUAUUAUUCUCCAAGAUAAAGCAGUGCUCUCCAUUUUAUUUUCCAAAAACCAAGUAUUCUCAGUUACAUAACAAGAAAGUCUAACCAUGGUUACACGUAAGGGAAACAGCACAACAAUCCAUCAUGACCUCUUCUGUUUCCAAACUUUGACUUGCCCUAGAUAAAGCAACCUGUCUGAAGCCUCAAGAAGUGAUUGUGUGUCUGUGCGACUGUGUACGUGAUGUGUGUGAGUGGGGUGUGUGAUCGACGCUGAUGUGACGUGUGCAUGUGUGUGGGGGGUGUGUGUGUGUGUGACUGUGUACGUGGGGUGUGUGAUCGACGCUGAUGUGACGUGUGCAUGUGUGUGGGGUGUGUGUGUGUGUGACUGUGUACGUGGAGUGUGUGAUCGAUGCUGAUGUGACGUGUGCAUGUGUGGGGUGUGUGUGUGUGUCUGACUGUGUACGUGGUGUGAGUGGGGUGUGUGAUCGACGCUGAUGUGACGUGUGCAUGUGUGGGGUGUGUGCGUGUGUGACUGUGUACGUGGUGUGAGUGGGGUGUGUGAUCGAUGCUGAUGUGACGUGUGCAUGUGUGGGGUGUGUGUGUGUGCCUGUGUACGUGGUGUGAGUGGGGUGUGUGAUUGAUGCUGAUGUGACGUGUGCAUGUGUGGGGUGUGUGUGUGUGUCUGACUGUGUACGUGGUGUGUGUGAGUGGGGUGUGUGAUCGACGCUGAUGUGACGUGUGCAUGUGUGUGGGGUGUGUGUGUGUGUGACUGUGUACGUGGUGUGUGUGAUCGAUGCUGAUGUGACAUGUGCAUGUGUGGGGUGUGUGUGUGACUGUGUACGUGGUGUGUGUGAGUGGGGUGUGUGAUCGACGCUGAUGUGACAUGUGCAUGUGUGGGGUGUGCGUGUGUGUGACUGUGUACGUGGUGUGUGUGAGUGGGGUGUGUGAUCGACGCUGAUGUGACGUGUGCAUGUGUGGGGUGUGUGUGUGUGUGUGACUGUGUACGUGGUGUGUGUGAUCGAUGCUGAUGUGACGUGUGCAUGUGUGGGGUGUGUGUGUGUGUGACUGUGUACGUGGUGUGUGUGAGUGGGGUGUGUGAUCGAUGCUGAUGUGACGUGUGCAUGUGUGGGGUGUGUGUCUGACUGUGUAUGUGGUGUCUGUGAGUGGGGUGUGUGAUAGAUGCUGAUGUGACGUGUGCAUGUGUGUGGGGGGGGUGUGUGUGUGUGACUGUGUAUGUGGUAUGAGUGGUGUGUGUGAUCGAUGCUGAUGUGACGUGUGCAUGUGUGGGGUGUGUGUGUGUGACUGUGUACGUGGUGUGUGUGAGUGGGAUGUGUGAUCGACGCUGAUGUGACAUGUGCAUGUGUGGGGCGUGUGUGUGUUUGUGUACGUGGUGUGAGUGGGGUGUGUGAUCGAUGCUGAUGUGACGUGUGCAUGUGUGGGGUGUGUGUGUGUGUGACUGUGUACGUGGUGUGUGUGAGUGGGGUGUGUGAUCGAUGCUGAUGUGACGUGUGCAUGUGUGGGGUGUGUGUGUGUGUGACUGUGUACGUGGUGUGUGUGAGUGGGGUGUGUGAUCGAUGCUGAUGUGACGUGUGCAUGUGUGGGGUGUGUGUGUGCGACUGUGUACGUGGUGUGUGUGAGUGGGGUGUGUGAUUGAUGCUGAUGUGACGUGUGCAUGUGCGGGGGGUGUGUGUCUAUGUGUAGGGUGGCGGAAAGAGUUUCACCAAAUUUCUGCUGCUAAAGGUAUAUACUUACCCUAACCAACCUCACUCUAGGAGACUGUAAGCAACUGUUUACUGGGGCAAGAAGAUUCUAGACAACGCCUUGGACAGAUAAGGGGAAUACUUGCAGUGGUUGACCAAGUAAGCUACAUCGAAAACAGAGAUUAAUCCUGGUUCUUUGAACAGUGAGCCCCAAAAGGAACUUUUCAUCUGGUCCCUAGUUUAAGUAGAAGGGGGGUGGACUUUCAACUUGAGCUUUUUUUUUUUUUUUUUUUUUUUUAAAGAAAAGGUUAUUCACAGGAGAGGAGCUUGCUUAACACUGAACAGAACUGUUCCCUCACUCUCUCCCAGGUGCCCUGGGUAACUGAGAGACUUUUGUUACUAGGGUCGGCACGAGACCAAGGAAAAUAUCACCCUACUUGUCUAUUUAUAUAAAAUACUCCAACCAUUUCUGUGUCUUUAUGUUUAGGGGUAAUAGCCACACAGCAUAGAUGUUGAUGUUUCAUGCAUGUGAAAUAACACAGUAGAAACCUCCUUUAAAAAAUUACUUUUCUU